RNAcentral lists this unclassified non-coding RNA (82 nucleotides) under Epilithonimonas lactis. RNAcentral describes it as "Chryseobacterium halperniae Flavo-1 RNA". Lineage: Bacteria; Pseudomonadati; Bacteroidota; Flavobacteriia; Flavobacteriales; Weeksellaceae. The record is from RNAcentral.
CUGCAGCCCGACUUGAGUGGAAAUCCUUUUUGUAGCUGGAAAAGCGCCGGCAAAAAGAUUGGGAACCGAAGGCGGAUAAAGC